UUAACUUAACAAGCUGACGAUCACUGGUUCAGUUUCGACCCCGUUUGGUCACUGAAAACUGUACCGAACUGCAAUCUUUAUCAGAUAGCUUUCGGAUUUUAUUUCUCACUCUAUGGGUGUCAGAAAAAUAUGAAACCUUAAAUCUAGCCUCAUAAAAAUAUUUCUGACAUUUCCGCCAAUUUUCAUAAUUUUCUGAGACUGUGCAUUUUCUGCUUAUUUUUCUGUCCCGUCUCCAACAGAAAAUUCUAGAUCUUCUGUUUUAAUUCCGAUUUCAGCACAGGUCACUUCUGACUUAUAUUUUACCUCUAUAAAUCUAAUAAAAAUAGUUUCUCACACUAUUUUUAUUUAUUAUUAUUUUUAUACCAAAAUCUGGUAUAUUACAUUUAUAAUAUCUUAUUCUCAUUAUAAUGAUUUUUAGAGUAAAAGCCUUAAUUUAUAUGAAAUUUAAUUUAAUUUGAUGGUUUUUUAAAGUAAAUUUUUCGAAAUCUGGGGAUGUGUACCGAUACACAAUCCCGUGUACCGGUACGGGUACUGUAGCCGCGGAAAUAUAAUCGGUUACAGGGCUUUAUUUCUCACUCAAAUCAAAACCAAAUUUCGCUUUUUCUCUCUCUAAAAAUCCCUGGUACCUUCCUCUUCCAGAUCUACACGAUUUUCCUCAGAAAUUU
RNAcentral lists this long non-coding RNA (665 nucleotides) under Ananas comosus (pineapple). RNAcentral's name for it is "long non-coding RNA (ACOM_LNC035844)". Lineage: Eukaryota; Viridiplantae; Streptophyta; Magnoliopsida; Poales; Bromeliaceae. The record is from RNAcentral.